RNAcentral lists this microRNA (23 nucleotides) under Branchiostoma lanceolatum (amphioxus). Its description in RNAcentral is "Bla-Mir-34-P6_5p* (star (passenger))". RNAcentral also lists the same sequence under 1 other name. Lineage: Eukaryota; Metazoa; Chordata; Leptocardii; Amphioxiformes; Branchiostomatidae. The record is from RNAcentral.
UGGCAGUGUGGAUAGCUGGCCGU